RNAcentral lists this ribosomal RNA (761 nucleotides) under Tenacibaculum adriaticum. RNAcentral's name for it is "bacterial SSU rRNA". It matches the Rfam family "Bacterial small subunit ribosomal RNA", at positions 1 to 766 of the family's 1533-position model. The record is from RNAcentral. Lineage: Bacteria; Pseudomonadati; Bacteroidota; Flavobacteriia; Flavobacteriales; Flavobacteriaceae.
UAGAGUUUGAAUAUGGCUCAGGAUGAACGCUAGCGGCAGGCUUAACACAUGCAAGUCGAGGGGUAACAGGUAGCUUGCUAUGCUGACGACCGGCGAACGGGUGCGUAACGCGUAUAGAAUCUGCCUUGUACAGGAGGAUAGCCUUUAGAAAUGAAGAUUAAUACUCCAUAAUACUGAGCUGUGGCAUCACAAUUUAGUUAAACAUUUAUGGGUACAAGAUGACUAUGCGUCCUAUUAGCUAGAUGGUAAGGUAACGGCUUACCAUGGCAACGAUAGGUAGGGGGUCUGAGAGGAUUAUCCCCCACACUGGUACUGAGACACGGACCAGACUCCUACGGGAGGCAGCAGUGAGGAAUAUUGGACAAUGGAGGCAACUCUGAUCCAGCCAUGCCGCGUGCAGGAAGACUGCCCUAUGGGUUGUAAACUGCUUUUAUACAGGAAGAAACCAUCUCACGUGUGAGAUCUUGACGGUACUGUAAGAAUAAGCACCGGCUAACUCCGUGCCAGCAGCCGCGGUAAUACGGAGGGUGCAAGCGUUAUCCGGAAUCAUUGGGUUUAAAGGGUCCGCAGGCGGUCAAUUAAGUCAGAGGUGAAAUCCCAUAGCUUAACUAUGGAACUGCCUUUGAUACUGGUUGACUUGAGUUAUACGGAAGUAGAUAGAAUAAGUAGUGUAGCGGUGAAAUGCAUAGAUAUUACUUAGAAUACCGAUUGCGAAGGCAGUCUACUACGUAUAUACUGACGCUCAUGACGAAAGCUAUCCC